Molecule: long non-coding RNA, 371 nt
Organism: Plodia interpunctella (Indianmeal moth)
Lineage: Eukaryota; Metazoa; Arthropoda; Insecta; Lepidoptera; Pyralidae
Exons: 3
Source: RefSeq, a predicted model, not a curated record
UGGCCAUCUGCCAAAGCUACAGAUUUGGUUUUACAUUGUCAUAAAGAAAUAAUUUCUCACAAUGUAUAGACAUAAUUAUGAAUGUAAAAAAUAAAACAAUAGAAACAGAACAAAUAUUUUUAUCGUCGACAAAGAUAUAAGAUUUGAUGUGUUUAGUCGUUACUGUGAUCAUAUUCGGUGUCUUUGCACUCAUAGUUGGAAUAUGGGGGGUUCUGAAAUACUUCUUAGAACAAUUUGACUUAUAUAAAAAAUGACAAAGAUGUACCCAAACUGAUGACUUAGAGCGAGCUACGUCCAGUAUGCCACCUAAUAAGGGCACGAAGAACAGUUGUCGUCAUCAGUUUGGCUAUUAUAGUAAUUUACUAUGUAAG